CUGUGCUCAACUUCACUGCACUGAAGCAAGAGGCUAUACAGAAACCAUAGACCAGGCUGGGGGAAAUGCAGCCCAAGAUUGAGGCCAGGAGCAGGUGGAUCCUGUUUUUGAAUCGCAACAGGAAUGCUCUGUCUGAGCAAAACCCAAAAGACAGGGAUCCCAGAUAUAGACAGAUGCACCAGUUUGAAAAGACACAGAUUCAGCUGGCUGUGAAGGAUGUGGUCAUCCCUGAUCUGUCAGACAUGAUGGGAAUCACUCCUCGAUCACAGUCUGCCAGGACCCCACAAUGCAGAAGGACACGGAGCACUCGGAGUCCCCAAAAAGUCUGCUCAGCUCGCGUCUCUGAUCCGAAGGGGAGCAGUGAAGAGAUGCUGGCGUCAGGAAGAGCCACAGGAGUCGGCAUGAGGCCAGUGAGCGCAACAGUGACAACCAGCAUGAUCCCCAGAGACACAGCAGACGCCCCCCUCACUGCACGAGGGGUUCGCUGCCGUCUGCAGGAGAGACCCCACAGUGCCAGGGUCCCGAGAGCAGUGGGGCCUCUUCACAAGAUGGCAGGAGGAGCUGCACCAGGAGAGGAGUCUUCCCUACAGCUUAAAGAUGGGCUCAAUGUCGACCAAGUCCAGGGGUUUCGCUGCCGUCUGCAGGAGAGACCCCACAGUGCCAGGGUCCCGAGAGCAGUGGGGCUUCUUCACAAGAUGGCAGGAGGAGCUGCACCAGGAGAGGAGUCUUCCCUACAGCUUAAAGAUGGGCUCAAUGUCGACCAAGCACAUGUGGGAAGAAUUGCAAGCCAGCCUCCAGAAACCAAUAUGGUUCAACACAAGGAAUCCAGAGACGCUGAUGGGGACUCCAGAGAGACACCUGCUGCAGGCAUACUGCACCUCUACUUGCCCUCUACAAAAUAUGAGGAGGAAGAUGACGAGGAGGAAGAAGGGAGGCAUCAGAUCAAGAGAACUGGACAACUGGAACCCCAGGAUGCCAGCGGGAUGACUCAUCCCCCUGUCCUCCGUUCGAGCAGAGACAGGAGCAGGGAAUUCAUGAAGCAGACGAAAGGCAGUGCCCCUAGCACGCGUGCCAGUCUGGAUCAAUCCAGAAAUUGCUCUCCGAUGGUUUACACCCGUAGGAGGAAGCCCAUGCCCAUUAAAAGAUAUCUCCCAGCUGCCACUGUGCUUUUGGAACCAUCUGACUCCACCACAAAAUGUCCCUUGGAAAAGGGAACAUUGUGGUGAAGCUCCACAGUUCGGGAAUAGGAUGAGCAGGUCCUACUCCACGCCAGGACAGCAGAGCUCUGCAGAAGGAGGAGCUAAGCCGAAUGAGAUGUCGUGCCACACAGGUGACAAGAGCAUGGCAUGCCCGCCUAAAAAUAAUGACUAUGAAAGAGACAUCCUUUCUCCUGGACUGUGGAACAUCAAAUCAAAGACUACCAAGACCUUCAGGCUAGGCCAAGAUGGAGCCCAAGAAACAAAGACAGUAUACUAUCUGCGAGCAAUCGAUCGUACACCCAGGACGGCAAGUUUUGCAGAAAAUACAUAUUCAUCAACCCGACACUAGCCCUCGCCCUCUCUUACUGUGUGAUUCCAAAUUGGUUUCUGAUGAUCAGCUGUCACGCUGUUACAAGACUUUGCAUGUAGGAUUUGCCGAAAGACAAGGUCAAGUUCAAAAACGGCAGUUUUCAUGCAAUUUUCUAUUUAUUCUGGCCUGAUAACGGGUUUCAGAGAAUGUUGGAGAAACUUGCUUGUUUCGCUGUGCUGUUUGGAAGCUGCGUCAGAAGAUUAUCCGUGUGAAUUUUCUAAGUGGUUUUGGUGCUUUUUUUAUACUCUCUGGGCUUCAUGUUUUUUGGGGAUGAAUUUCUUUAUGUUUUGCUGUAUUGAAGCAUUAAUGAAUUGAAGCAUUGAAUUGAUAGAAUUUAAAGCAUCACUAUCGCUUUCUCAGCCUUGUAAGAAGAAAUGCCCAUUUUUGUUGUUGUUAUCAUUGCUUUGCUUUCACUUGUUCUAUGAACAACCUUCUCAGCCUUAAAAGGAAAAAAAAAACCUUCCAAGUCUUCAGACCUGUUGUGAAAGAACCUCAGACACUAAACCUUGCUUAAGUGGGAGAGGGAGAGAGAAAACUGUGUUUUUGUUUAAUUCAUGUCAACUGCCAGAAAGUUGCAAACUUGGUUUUGAAUGAAAUCAUGUGAUAGUCAAAUUGAAACAUGAGCCCAAGCAAAGGAAAACCACUUCAAAUCAAAUAGCAAACUUCCUUCUGGUCUUGAUUUUCUUUUAAACAGGACCAAAUUCAGCAUGAGUAAGAAAAUGUGAAUGAAUUAUUUUACUAAAAUGUAUUUAGAUUAACUUUGGCCUGGAUGUGGAUUUUGCUACUUUGCGUUUUUGUUUGUCUUGGUUCUAGUUAAGUGACUGACAAGGCGAUAAAUUGUAUAUCUCCACAAAACACAUAUGACCAGACUUAUUUCAACUACAGAAAUUAUGUUUCAUACACAUAGGAUAGAUUUUUACAAUAUACUGCGUGUGUUAUUUGAAAACACACAGCAUUUGAAUUCUGUUCCUUCACUGUGUACAAAGACAAUUUUAGCAACACUUUUUUGUGCCACUAAAAAGGUAGAACUAAUUUCUUUUAAAAUAGUGUCCAAAAUUGUAUUGUCUUGCAGUGAUUCUCCUGCCUAAAUGUCAGACAGGAGGAAUGGCGAUGAAGUGGUCAGUAUUACAGACGUAUUGCGGUCUUUACAGUUUUUGUAUAUAUUUAUCAACAGAACAUCAAAUCAAUUAUAUGGGUAUCAUGAAAAAUAAAGAUAAUAUGAUUUGCAAAAAUUCCAAGAAUGUUAAUUCUGAAAGGCUAUUACAAGCACGUUAGAAAUUAAAUCAUGCACCUGUCACUUCAGAAGUGAAACACCCUUGCUGUUCCUAAAAAUGCAACACAGAAUAUGACCUUCUCUCUAGCGGUUGGGCAAUUAUUAAUUAAAGAAGGACAGCAAAAUCUCGGUAAAAUGUCAAAUCCAGUCCUGUGUCAAA
Molecule: long non-coding RNA, 3002 nt
Filed under: Lepisosteus oculatus (spotted gar)
Lineage: Eukaryota; Metazoa; Chordata; Actinopteri; Semionotiformes; Lepisosteidae
Description: lncRNA (ENSLOCG00000021692.1)
Source: RNAcentral